GCCGCCGUAGCUCAGCUGGGAGAGCGCCCGGCUGAAGACCGGGCGGUCGGGGGUUCAAGUCCCCCCGGCGGCACCA
This 76-nucleotide transfer RNA is filed under the name Ignisphaera aggregans. RNAcentral describes it as "tRNA-Phe". It matches the Rfam family "tRNA". From Rfam's summary of the family: Transfer RNA (tRNA) molecules are approximately 80 nucleotides in length. Their secondary structure includes four short double-helical elements and three loops (D, anti-codon, and T loops). RNAcentral also lists the same sequence under 1 other name. The record is from RNAcentral. Lineage: Archaea; Thermoproteati; Thermoproteota; Thermoprotei; Desulfurococcales; Desulfurococcaceae.